UCCGAGUUGACCCCGGCAGUCUCUCACGAGUCCCCGCCAUUACGCGCUGGCAACAUAAGAUAAGGGUUGCGCUCGUUGCGGGACUUAACCCAACAUCUCACGACACGAGCUGACGACAGCCAUUCAGCACCUGUCACCGACCAAUUGAAGAGCUCCGUCUCCGGAGCCCCGAUCGGGAAGUCAAGGGCUGGUAAGGUUCUUCGCGUUGCCUCGAAUUAAACCACAUGCUCCACCGCUUGUGCGGGUCCCCGUCAAUUCCUUUGAGUUUUAAUCUUGCGACCGUACUCCCCAGGCGGGGUGCUUAAUGCGUUAGCUGCGCCACCAAGAAGCAAGCUUCCUGACGGCUAGCACCCAUAGUUUACGGCGUGGACUAC
RNAcentral lists this unclassified non-coding RNA (374 nucleotides) under uncultured Alphaproteobacteria bacterium. Its description in RNAcentral is "contains 16S-23S intergenic spacer region". Lineage: Bacteria; Pseudomonadati; Pseudomonadota; Alphaproteobacteria. The record is from RNAcentral.